GCUGCUCUGAUAAUCACACACCUCUCCGUGGUGAGCAGCAGGCAACGAACUUAUGGUUGGCUAAGAUGUGAAA
This 73-nucleotide ribozyme is filed under the name unclassified sequences. RNAcentral describes it as "HDV ribozyme from F. prausnitzii". It matches the Rfam family "HDV ribozyme from F. prausnitzii". The record is from RNAcentral.